UACGUAGGGUGCGAGCGUUGUCCGGAAUUAUUGGGCGUAAAGAGCUCGUAGGCGGUUUGUCACGUCUGCUGUGAAAUCCCGAGGCUCAACCUCGGGCCUGCGGUGGGUACGGGCAGACUAGAGUGAUGUAGGGGAGACUGGAAUUCCUGGUGUAGCGGUGAAAUGCGCAGAUAUCAGGAGGAACACCGAUGGCGAAGGCAGGUCUCUGGGCAUUAACUGACGCUGAGGAGCGAAAAGCAUGGGGGAGCGAACAGG
RNAcentral lists this ribosomal RNA (255 nucleotides) under uncultured bacterium. Its description in RNAcentral is "partial 16S ribosomal RNA". It matches the Rfam family "Bacterial small subunit ribosomal RNA", at positions 524 to 776 of the family's 1533-position model. The record is from RNAcentral.